GUAACUGCGAGUGAAGCGGGAAGAGCUCAAAUUUAAAAUCUGGCGGCUUUUUUCGGUCGUCCGAGUUGUAAUCUGGAGAGGCAUUUUCCGCGUUGGACCGUGCACAAGUCUCCUGGAACGGAGCGUCAUAGAGGGUGAGAAUCCCGUCCAUGACACGGACCGCCAAUGCUCUGUGAUAUGCUUUCGAAGAGUCGCGUUGUUUGGGAAUGCAGCGCAAAACGGGUGGUAAAUUCCAUCUAAAGCUAAAUAUUGGCGAGAGACCGAUAGCGAACAAGUACCGUGAGGGAAAGAUGAAAAGCACUUUGAAAAGAGAGUUAAACAGUACGUGAAAUUGUUGAAAGGGAAACGCUUGAAGUCAGUCGCGUUCCUUGGAACUCAGCCUCGCCUUCGGGUUUGGUGUACUUUCCAUGUGAACGGGUCAACGUCAAUUUUGGCCGGUGGACAAAGGCGGGGGGAACGUAGCGUCGCUUCGGCGACGUGUUAUAGCCCCUUGUUGUAUGCACCGGCUGGGAUUGAGGACCGCAGCACGCCCUUUUUUGUGGCCGUGGGCUCGCUCUACGUACCGUGCUUAGGACGUUGGCAUAAUGGCUUUAAGCGACCCGUCUUGAAACACGGACCAAGGAGUCUAACAUGCUUGCGAGUGUUCGGGUGGAAAACCCUUGCGCGUAAUGAAGGUGAAAGGUUAGGAGCCCCUCGAGGGGGGGGUGCACUGACGCCCGGCCCUGAAGUUCUCUGACGGCGCUGCGGCAGAGCAAGCAUGUUGGGACCCGAAAGAUGGUGAACUAUGCCUGAAUAGGGCGAAGCCAGAGGAAACUCUGGUGGAGGCUCGUAGCGAUUCUGACGUGCAAAUCGAUCGUCAAAUUUGGGUAUA
RNAcentral lists this ribosomal RNA (871 nucleotides) under Fulvifomes sp. SP-2012c. Its description in RNAcentral is "eukaryotic LSU rRNA". It matches the Rfam family "Eukaryotic large subunit ribosomal RNA", at positions 83 to 919 of the family's 3401-position model. Lineage: Eukaryota; Fungi; Basidiomycota; Agaricomycetes; Hymenochaetales; Hymenochaetaceae. The record is from RNAcentral.